CCUACGGGAGGCAGCAGUGGGGAAUAUUGGGCAAUGGGCGCAAGCCUGACCCAGCAACGCCGCGUGAAGGAAGAAGGCUUUCCGGUUGUAAACUUCUUUUCUCAGGGACGAAGCAAGUGACAGUACCUGAGGCCUACGCCACGGCUAACUACGUGCCAGCAGCCGCGGUGAUACGUAGGUGGCAAGCGUUAUCCGGAUUUACUGGGUGUAAAGGGCGUGUAGGCGGGAAAGCAAGUCAGAUGUGACAACCAUGGGCUCAACCUGUGGCCUGCAUUUGAAACUGUUUUUCUUGAGUACUGGAGAGGCAGACGGAAUUCCUAGUGUAGCGGUGAAAUGCGUAGAUAUUAGGAGGAACACCAGUGGCGAAGGCGGUCUGCUGGACAGCAACUGACGCUGAGGCGCGAAAGCGUGGGGAGCAAACAGGAUUAGAUACCCCUGUAGUC
This 443-nucleotide ribosomal RNA is filed under the name uncultured bacterium. RNAcentral's name for it is "partial 16S ribosomal RNA". It matches the Rfam family "Bacterial small subunit ribosomal RNA", at positions 338 to 795 of the family's 1533-position model. The record is from RNAcentral.